RNAcentral lists this ribosomal RNA (786 nucleotides) under uncultured bacterium. RNAcentral describes it as "bacterial SSU rRNA". It matches the Rfam family "Bacterial small subunit ribosomal RNA", at positions 8 to 798 of the family's 1533-position model. The record is from RNAcentral.
AGAGUUUGAUCAUGGCUCAGAACGAACGCUGGCGGCGCGCCUAAUACAUGCAAGUCGAGCGAGAAGGUGUAGCAAUACACUUGUAAAGCGGCGAACGGGUGAGGAAUGCAUGGGUAACCUACCCUCGAGUGGGGAAUAACUAGCCGAAAGGUUAGCUAAUACCGCAUACGUUUCCGGGACUUCGGUUCCGGAAAGAAAGCAAUACCGUGGGUAUUGCGCUCAUGGAUGGGCUCAUGUCCUAUCAGCUUGUUGGUGAGGUAACGGCUCACCAAGGCUUCGACGGGUAGCCGGCCUGAGAGGGUGACCGGCCACACUGGGACUGAGAUACGGCCCAGACUCCUACGGGAGGCAGCAGUGGGGAAUAUUGCACAAUGGGCGCAAGCCUGAUGCAGCGACGCCGCGUGAGGGAUGACGGCCUUCGGGUUGUAAACCUCUUUCAGUAGGGACGAAGCGAAAGUGACGGUACCUAUAGAAGAAGGACCGGCCAACUACGUGCCAGCAGCCGCGGUAAUACGUAGGGUCCGAGCGUUGUCCGGAAUUACUGGGCGUAAAGAGCUCGUAGGUGGUUUGUCGCGUUGUUCGUGAAAACUCACAGCUUAACUGUGGGCGUGCGGGCGAUACGGGCAGACUAGAGUACUGCAGGGGAGACUGGAAUUCCUGGUGUAGCGGUGGAAUGCGCAGAUAUCAGGAGGAACACCGGUGGCGAAGGCGGGUCUCUGGGCAGUAACUGACGCUGAGGAGCGAAAGCGUGGGGAGCGAACAGGAUUAGAUACCCCGGUAGUCCAA